UGGUGUAUGACCACGCCAAUUCUCUUGGA
This 29-nucleotide non-coding RNA is filed under the name Rattus norvegicus (Norway rat). Lineage: Eukaryota; Metazoa; Chordata; Mammalia; Rodentia; Muridae. The record is from RNAcentral.